This 468-nucleotide ribosomal RNA is filed under the name uncultured bacterium. RNAcentral's name for it is "partial 16S ribosomal RNA". It matches the Rfam family "Bacterial small subunit ribosomal RNA", at positions 28 to 507 of the family's 1533-position model. The record is from RNAcentral.
GACGAACGCUGGCGGCGUGCUUAACACAUGCAAGUCGAACGGAAAGGCCCUGCUUUUGUGUGGUGCCCGAGUGGCAAACGGGUGAGUAACACGUGAAUAACCUGGCCUGGGCGGUGGGAUAACUGCAGGAAACUGGGGCUAAUACCUGCUAGGAGCGGCUGCUGCAUGGUGGGGGUUGGAAAUUUUGGGCGGAUGGGGAUGGACUGGGGGCUUAUUAGCUUGUGGGGGGGGUAGUGGCCUACCAAGGCUUUGGCGGCUGGUCGGCAUGGGAGGGUGAUCGGCCACAUUGGGACUGAGAUACGGCCCAGAGUGCUACGGGAGGCAGCAGUGGGGAAUAUUGCACAAUGGGCGGAAGCCUGAUGAAGAAACGCCGCGUUCGGGAUGCAGGCCUUCGUGUUGUAAACCGCUUUCGCCUGUGACGAUGCGUUUUUGACGUUAAUGGGUAAAGAAGCACCGGCUAACUACGUG